This 186-nucleotide unclassified non-coding RNA is filed under the name uncultured Russula. Its description in RNAcentral is "sequence contains ITS1". The record is from RNAcentral. Lineage: Eukaryota; Fungi; Basidiomycota; Agaricomycetes; Russulales; Russulaceae.
UCGUACAACGGAGGUGCGAGGGCUGUCGCUGACCUUUGAAGGUUGUGCACGCCCGAGCCCUCUCGCAAUCCAUCUCACCCUUUGUGCACCACCGCGUGGGUCCCCCUUUGCGGGGAGGGCUCGCGUUUUCACAUAAAACUCGAUACAGUAUAGAACGUUUAUUUUUGCGGUCACACGCGAUCAAUA